CCUGAAUAAGUUUCCUCUGAGACUCCCAUAACAAGAUUAGAGCCCCUAAUACACUUUGCAUACCAUUCAUUGUUCACUGUUCCCACUCCUAGGAAAUUCAGUAUUUGAUCAUACACCGGUUGGUCAAAUGAAGAAUUCAGAACAUACCAACCAUGGGAUGAAAGAUUAAGCAAGCUCACUCCUUCAUCCCUUGCAUUGUUUAGUAUAUUCCAAAAUUCAGGCAUUAUUCUACCAAUUUCACACGGUCUACGGAAGAUCUUCUGCUCCAUGCAUGAUUCACUUGGAACAAUGUUUUCUUCAGCCAGCUUUGCUUUGAUUGAUUCCCUCACAGCAUUUGGAUAGGGAGAGCUGCUGACAGGAAGGAACUCAAACAUUCGAGCCAAAUUAAAUACUGGUGCUUCUUCUGUGGUUCUGACUAGUGAGAUCAAUGCUUCAACAAAGGCAAAGGGUACACAAUUAAGAAUUCCUUGAUUCCACACGUUGUCCAAAAGUAUCGUUUCCCUUGAUGAUGCUAAAAUAAAAUCUGCUUGGAUUAUGAAUGGAAAGUUUGUGACCAUCUCAGUAGGAAGAAAUGCAUAAACCCCAGGUGCGUUCAUUCCUCUAUGCAGACGCUCUCCAUUAGGAAAAGCCAAAGUGAUCACCCACUCCUCGACUUCCAUUCUCCUUUCAACUCUGUUUUCCUGUCUCACAGGAAACUUCUGUUUCCAAAUGUAGUAGCUGCAUUCUCCUAUGGAGUCAUUACCAUUUCCCUCCGCAGAAAGAUGGAGUGUGAAGGAUUCAGCGUCAAUAUUCUUCCUUGUCACCCAAUUGGUC
Molecule: unclassified non-coding RNA, 813 nt
Filed under: Hevea brasiliensis (rubber tree)
Lineage: Eukaryota; Viridiplantae; Streptophyta; Magnoliopsida; Malpighiales; Euphorbiaceae
Source: RNAcentral